Long non-coding RNA from Bufo bufo (common toad), 188 nucleotides. RefSeq lists it as uncharacterized. Lineage: Eukaryota; Metazoa; Chordata; Amphibia; Anura; Bufonidae. The record is from RefSeq and is a predicted model, not a curated record. The transcript is spliced from 3 exons.
GAGGUAGCAUAUUAGCUAUAAGGAUGGAGCUAUUGAUUAUAGACAACCUAGUAACUAUAAGGAAAAACUAUUGAUGAUAUAUAGCUUAGUAGCUAUACAGAGAAGCUUUUGAUAAUAGGUAAGAUAAUAGCUUCAAGGAAAAAUUAUUGGUAAUGGGUAGGAGAAGAAUAUGAAAUUUUGGGAGAAUU